CACACUUGAUUCAUUUCUUUUUUAGCUCUGGAAAAAUAUUCUCCAGUUGGAAUGAGAGGUCAGGAAUGUGAGAAUUCAUACAUUGCGUGCAUGUGUGGUUAGUGCUGUGUGUGCCAAUUGCACACAUCACUGGCUGGGGGAAGUUAAAUCAUUUUUGGAUGCAGUUUGUGGCAAUAGCAUCCAAAGUGCCAACUUGAGGUCUUUGAAGUAGCGUUCUGCACAACCUGUUAUUGAGGCAUUUCUUGCCAGCUUGAAGCAGAGGAAGUACCCAUUGAAAGUGGAAUAUUUUCCAUCUCUUGCCAUUCAAGCCACUCAGGGACAUUCUUUCAAUUGAUUUGAAAAAUAGAACUUCUACACUUUUCUUUAUUUUCUUUCCAUCUGGGAGGACACAAUGACUUAUGAUACAAAUAUUUUCUCUUCUUAAAUCUUUAUUUGCCUCUCAUCUUUUCUAGAGCCGAAUUUAAGAAACAGAUGUGCAAAUAAGAGAUGGCUGAAGCGGGCAGGGAUUGUGAACACAAGAACUGACUUUAGGAGGUGAGCGGCUGGCUUCCCUUAGGCAGACGUUAGAAGGGUAAAUGGCACUCUUGCUCUGAGGUCUAAGGUUGGUUUCCGUGCCAAGUGCAGAUGUAGACUCCAGCACUUCCAGCUUCCUGCUUCCUCUCUUGACCCUCCAUGGAGGAAAUGAAGAUAGGAUGUCUACGGCAUCAGUCCCUCUCUCGGGGCUGUCCUCUCAUCUCCCUGCACUCCGAGAAAAACACUUUGGGAGCACAAAGUGAACUGUAACAACCUUGGCUGACCUUGGUCCCUGUACUUUGUUCUCAGGGUUAACGGACCUGCUUCUCACAGAGCUUUUCUUAAACAGUUCAUUCUACUGGGUUUUCAAUGUGCUAAGAAGUAAAAAGCCACACGAGAAGAGAAUUUUAAAAGACAUUAUCAGCUCCAACUGUGUGCAGCAAAGGUGUUGGAUUUUCAUUGUGGAUCCGAGCUUUUCAAGCCAGCAACUGGCUGAAAGAGCCACCAACUUUGUCACAGAGAACACUGGCAGGAACGCAUGGAGACGGAGACAAGCUAAUGCUCACACAAUCUGCAUUCAUAUUGUUCAAGAGGGCACUUCCAAAAGUUUGUGGACAGAUGGAAUUCAAAG
RNAcentral lists this long non-coding RNA (1144 nucleotides) under Oryctolagus cuniculus (rabbit). Its description in RNAcentral is "lncRNA (ENSOCUG00000038710.1)". Lineage: Eukaryota; Metazoa; Chordata; Mammalia; Lagomorpha; Leporidae. The record is from RNAcentral.